Molecule: ribosomal RNA, 237 nt
Filed under: uncultured bacterium
Lineage: Bacteria
Description: partial 16S ribosomal RNA
Rfam family: Bacterial small subunit ribosomal RNA
Source: RNAcentral
CGAACGGGUGAGUAAUACAUAAGCAACCUACCCACGAAGACUGGGAUAAUCUCUGGAAACGGGGACUAAUACCGGAUAGGUAAUCGGAAGGCAUCUUCUGAUUAUUAAAGGUUAAAAACACUGGUGGAUGGGCUUAUGGCGCAUUAGUUAGUUGGUGAGGUAACGGCCCACCAAGACGAUGAUGCGUAGCCGGCCUGAGAGGGUGAACGGCCACAUUGGGACUGAGACACGGCCCAG